AUAACUAGGUUAGAACUCUGUGUAUUACACGGGUAGAGCACUCAAUGGGCUAGGGUGGCCCCAUUUCGGAUUUCGCCUUACCAACCCCUAAGGAAACUCCGAAUACAGGCAUUGAUCGUUUGUACAGACAUACCUUUUGGGUGCUAAGAUCCAACUCGAGAGGGAAACAACCCAAAUCGUACACUAAGGUCCCUAAGCAAUCACUUAGUGGAAAAUGAAAUGAUCGGGCGAUGUUAACUAGGAAGUGGGCUUGGAAGCAGCCAUCCUUUGAAGAAAGCGUAAUAGCUCACUGGUCUAGCUCCAUGGCACCGAAAAUGUAUUAGGGCUCAAGCGAUUCACCGAAGCGAGAAGGCCUUUUAGAUUUUAUA
This 368-nucleotide non-coding RNA is filed under the name Helianthus annuus (common sunflower). It matches the Rfam family "Bacterial large subunit ribosomal RNA", at positions 864 to 1221 of the family's 2925-position model. The record is from RNAcentral. Lineage: Eukaryota; Viridiplantae; Streptophyta; Magnoliopsida; Asterales; Asteraceae.